RNAcentral lists this ribosomal RNA (119 nucleotides) under Eucalyptus grandis. The record is from RNAcentral. Lineage: Eukaryota; Viridiplantae; Streptophyta; Magnoliopsida; Myrtales; Myrtaceae.
GGGUGCGAUCAUACCAGCACUAAUGCACCGGAUCCCAUCAGAACUCCGAAGUUAAGCGUGCUUGGGCGAGAGUAGUACUAGGAUGGGUGACCUCCUGGGAAGUUCUCGUGUUGCACCCC